This is a long non-coding RNA of Cynoglossus semilaevis (tongue sole), 650 nucleotides long. RefSeq lists it as uncharacterized. The transcript has 4 exons. The record is from RefSeq and is a predicted model, not a curated record. Lineage: Eukaryota; Metazoa; Chordata; Actinopteri; Pleuronectiformes; Cynoglossidae.
ACACAGAGGGAUACAACGAUGACAGUGUGUGUGUGUGUGUGUGUGUUUGUGUGUGGUAACGGGUUAAUACAGAUAACACAUAUAAAAUAAUAAGCUUUUGCAGCCAUGCCAACAAAUGAGGGAUUCUGAAAGGUAUUGUAACAAGGCAAAAAUCAAUUUAACUUUAAAGAAUCAACUUUUCCUCUUCUUUUCCUCAGACUUCACCAGAAUUGAAAUGGUCAUACUGACAGUUCUUACACCAGAGGCUGCUGAGGCAACUUGAAGGGUGUUGUCCACGGAAAUCAGGUCACAAGAGGAGAUGGAGCCAAUCAAAGCUGUCAUCAGGAGUAGAGGAGGCAUCCUCUGCCUCAGGGGAUCCCUUGCUGGUGGUGGGGUCGACCUGGGAGAACUUUAGCAUGUCGAGGACACUGGUUUUGACAUCCUCGAAUGUUUCUUUCACUCCCUUCUGCAGGAUAUAGCCCUCACUGUCAUCCUCUGGGUUCUCCAGGGCCAUGGCUCCUUCCACAGCCGUCUGCAGAAGAGCGUUGCUCACGUGGCCCACCUGUAUUAUGAUGACGGACAGCACACCGGGGCCAGUUGAAUUCAUCAGACCCAUGUAGUAGUCAGUCAAAGCCUGCCUGCAGCCCUGGGUGUACAAGUUGAGCUCUUCU